GCCGUAAAGCGCCGCGCGACGGGUCGCGAUGCUAGGGAGCGGCCUCGGUGUCCUAGCAACGGCGGCGCGCCGGCUUCCCGUAUCGCGCCGGUGGAAGCGUGUGUCGCACAGAAAUACGGCCUCGGGAAGAGGCCUGUGUGGGGCUGCCAGCCGGCAGCUGAAGAGCGAGAAGAGAACCUUCUAACCGCCGGAGAACCCAGCCGAGAAGCUCUCUUCUCCCCUUGCCACGCUGCAAGCGGGUGGGCACCGCAGCUGCUGGAGCAGGGCUGGGUGACAAAUAACGUCAACACCUUUAAAGCCCUGAAGUGUUUUAAUCAUCACUAUGAUAAAGCAUUGCAAGGGUUGCUAAUAAAAUACACGUGUUGGAUGUUGUACGUUUUUCAAGGUAUAAAAGGAACUGGAUUAUGAUCGCUGUCUUUGAAGUUGUACCCACAUUAUAACCUGCUGUUGCAUGGCUGCUAUAAACAGGUGUCAAGCAUGUACACACACUGAAUGUUCAGUAUAUAUUUUUAAAGUUAUUUUACAAAGGAGCACGUUUGCGGAAGUCAUCCUGAUGAUGGCUAUGUGAAAAACAAUUUUUUUUCUCCCCCGAGCAUAGAUGAUGUGCUUUGCCUCAAUGCCUAUUAUUUUCAAAUGGAGGCCUUGGUACUGACAUGUCAAGUCUAUUUAGAAAGGGAUUAUCAAUUUACAGGAAUUGCAGUCUUCAGUGUAGAAUACAUAAUGAGUCUUAAAUUUCUUCCAGCCAGUCAGGGUUUUCCUCUUUGUAAUCUUCAGACAGCUUUUUCCAUAGUUAAACAUAAUGCAUUCCAAAACCCAGGUGUGAUUUCAUCUCACCUGAAAGGGAGCAGUGUUCUUAAUCUAGUGGUUAGAGAGGAAUUUUUCUGGAGAAGUGGUUCAAUUCAUAAGAGAAAUGAGAAUUGUUAUGAGAAUGGGAUUUCCCAAGAUUACAGAAUCCUUGGGGGUAGUGAAAAAAUUAGAAGGGGAAAUACACUUACAUGUGACCACAGAUAAGGGUAUCAAGUCUUGCAUGAAACCCAUGCUGUAAUGUUUUCAGCUGUUAUUUUAUCAGAAACUUCUGGGGGUAAAUCGAAUUGUAAAAGUGCCAUCCUGUUACCUGUAAAUCAUAAUAAUCUUGUACUGUAAUAAAGUGAACAUUUUUUAAUUUAUUUUUUUUUUUAA
Phalacrocorax carbo (great cormorant) is the source of this 1179-nucleotide non-coding RNA. The record is from RefSeq and is a predicted model, not a curated record. Lineage: Eukaryota; Metazoa; Chordata; Aves; Suliformes; Phalacrocoracidae.